RNAcentral lists this ribosomal RNA (253 nucleotides) under uncultured bacterium. RNAcentral describes it as "partial 16S ribosomal RNA". It matches the Rfam family "Bacterial small subunit ribosomal RNA", at positions 524 to 776 of the family's 1533-position model. The record is from RNAcentral.
UACGGAGGGGGCUAGCGUUGUUCGGAAUUACUGGGCGUAAAGCGCGCGUAGGCGGAUCUGCAAGUCGGGGGUGAAAUCCCGAGGCUCAACCUCGGAACUGCCUUCGAUACUGCGGGUCUCGAGUCCGGGAGAGGUGAGUGGAAUUCCUAGUGUAGAGGUGAAAUUCGUAGAUAUCGAGAGGAACACCGGUGGCGAAGGCGGCCUUCUGGACAGUGACUGACGCUGAGACGCGAAAGCGUGGGGAGCAAACAGG